Molecule: unclassified non-coding RNA, 384 nt
Filed under: uncultured Tepidisphaerales bacterium
Lineage: Bacteria; Pseudomonadati; Planctomycetota; Phycisphaerae; Tepidisphaerales
Description: contains 16S-23S intergenic spacer region
Source: RNAcentral
UCCGGUUUGACACCGGCAGUCCCCUUAGAGUCCUCGGCAUAACCCGUUAGUAACUAAGGGCAAAGGUUUCGCUCGUUAAGGGACUUAACCCGACAUCUCACGACACGAGCUGACGACAGCCAUGCAGCACCUGUACUUGUUGUACCCCGAAGGGCCUACUCCACUUUCAUGGAGGUAAUCCAAGCAUGUCAAACCCAGGUAAGGUUCUGCGCGUUGCUUCGAAUUGAACCACAUGCUCCACCGCUUGUGUGAGCCCCCGUCAAUUUCUUUGAGUUUUAGCCUUGCGACCGUACUUCCCAGGCGGUCGACUUAGCACUUUUGCUUCGACCGUAAUACCGUCAGAGGCACUACGAUCUAGUCGACAUCGUUUACGGCCAGGACUAC